GACGAACGCUGGCGGCGUGCUUAACACAUGCAAGUCGAACGGAAAGGCCCUGCUUUUGUGGGGUGCUCGAGUGGCGAACGGGUGAGUAACACGUGAGUAACCUGCCCUUGACUUUGGGAUAACUUCAGGAAACUGGGGCUAAUACCGGAUAGGAGCUCCUGCUGCAUGGUGGGGGUUGGAAAGUUUCGGCGGUUGGGGAUGGACUCGCGGCUUAUCAGCUUGUUGGUGGGGUAGUGGCUUACCAAGGCUUUGACGGGUAGCCGGCCUGAGAGGGUGACCGGCCACAUUGGGACUGAGAUACGGCCCAGACUCCUACGGGAGGCAGCAGUGGGGAAUAUUGCACAAUGGGCGGGAGCCUGAUGCAGCAACGCCGCGUGCGGGAUGACGGCCUUCGGGUUGUAAACCGCUUUCGCCUGUGACGAGGCGUGAGUGACGGUAAUGGGUAAAGAAGCACCGGCUAACUACGUG
RNAcentral lists this ribosomal RNA (468 nucleotides) under uncultured bacterium. Its description in RNAcentral is "partial 16S ribosomal RNA". It matches the Rfam family "Bacterial small subunit ribosomal RNA", at positions 28 to 507 of the family's 1533-position model. The record is from RNAcentral.